RNAcentral lists this ribosomal RNA (468 nucleotides) under uncultured bacterium. RNAcentral describes it as "partial 16S ribosomal RNA". It matches the Rfam family "Bacterial small subunit ribosomal RNA", at positions 28 to 507 of the family's 1533-position model. The record is from RNAcentral.
GACGAACGCUGGCGGCGUGCUUAACACAUGCAAGUCGAACGGAAAGGCCCUGCUUUUGUGGGGUGCUCGAGUGGCGAACGGGCGAGUAACACGUGAGUAACCUGCCCUUGACUUUGGGAUAACUUCAGGAAACUGGGGCUAAUACCGCAUAGGAGCUCCUGCUGCAUGGUGGGGGUUGGAUAGUUUCGGCGGUUGGGGAUGUACUCGCGGCUUAUCAGCUUGUUGGUGGGGUAGUGGCUUACCAAGGCUUUGACGGGUAGCCGGCAUGCGAGGGGUACCGGCAACAAUGGGACUGAGAUACGGCCCAGACUCCAACGGGAGGCAGCAGAGGGGAAGAGUACACAAUGGGCGGAAGCCAGAUGCAGCAACGCCGCGUGCGGGAUGACGGGCUGCGGGUUGUAAAGCGCAGUCGCCUGUGACGAAGCGAGAGUGACGGUAAUGGGUAAAGAAGCACCGGCUAACUACGUG